This 1286-nucleotide ribosomal RNA is filed under the name Myroides sp. ZB35. RNAcentral's name for it is "bacterial SSU rRNA". It matches the Rfam family "Bacterial small subunit ribosomal RNA", at positions 117 to 1407 of the family's 1533-position model. Lineage: Bacteria; Pseudomonadati; Bacteroidota; Flavobacteriia; Flavobacteriales; Flavobacteriaceae. The record is from RNAcentral.
GUAUGCAACCUACCUUAUACAGGGGAAUAGCCCGAAGAAAUUCGGAUUAAUGCUCCAUGGUUUAUCGAUAUGGCAUCGUAUUGAUAAUAAAGAUUUAUCGGUAUAAGAUGGGCAUGCGUAUCAUUAGCUAGUUGGUGUGGUAACGGCAUACCAAGGCAACGAUGAUUAGGGGUCCUGAGAGGGAGAUCCCCCACACUGGUACUGAGACACGGACCAGACUCCUACGGGAGGCAGCAGUGAGGAAUAUUGGUCAAUGGAGGCAACUCUGAACCAGCCAUGCCGCGUGCAGGAUGACGGUCCUAUGGAUUGUAAACUGCUUUUGUACAGGAAGAAACCUCCCUACGAGUAGGGACUUGACGGUACUGUAAGAAUAAGGAUCGGCUAACUCCGUGCCAGCAGCCGCGGUAAUACGGAGGAUCCGAGCGUUAUCCGGAAUUAUUGGGUUUAAAGGGUUCGUAGGCGGCUUUAUAAGUCAGUGGUGAAAUUUCCUAGCUUAACUAAGACACUGCCAUUGAUACUGCUUAACUUGAAUAGUAUGGAAGUAACUAGAAUAUGUAGUGUAGCGGUGAAAUGCUUAGAUAUUACAUGGAAUACCAAUUGCGAAGGCAGGUUACUACGUAUUUAUUGACGCUGAUGAACGAAAGCGUGGGGAGCGAACAGGAUUAGAUACCCUGGUAGUCCACGCCGUAAACGAUGGAUACUAGCUGUUCGGUUUUCGGACUGAGUGGCUAAGCGAAAGUGAUAAGUAUCCCACCUGGGGAGUACGUUCGCAAGAAUGAAACUCAAAGGAAUUGACGGGGGCCCGCACAAGCGGUGGAGCAUGUGGUUUAAUUCGAUGAUACGCGAGGAACCUUACCAGGGCUUAAAUGUAGAUUGACAGAUUUGGAAACAGAUUUUUCUUCGGACAAUUUACAAGGUGCUGCAUGGUUGUCGUCAGCUCGUGCCGUGAGGUGUCAGGUUAAGUCCUAUAACGAGCGCAACCCCUAUUGUUAGUUACCAGCGCGUUAAGGCGGGGACUCUAGCAAGACUGCCGGUGCAAACCGUGAGGAAGGUGGGGAUGACGUCAAAUCAUCACGGCCCUUACGUCCUGGGCUACACACGUGCUACAAUGGCAAGUACAGAAAGCAGCUACCUGGCAACAGGAUGCGAAUCUCCAAAGCUUGUCUCAGUUCGGAUUGGAGUCUGCAACUCGACUCUAUGAAGCUGGAAUCGCUAGUAAUCGGAUAUCAGCCAUGAUCCGGUGAAUACGUUCCCGGGCCUUGUACACACCGCCCGUCAAGCCAUGG